CUGAGGGUGAGUCUCGAAGAAUGAAUUGUUUUAGACCCACAUUGUUGGAAACGCCUCCUAGAGUCACUGUGGCUUGCUUUACUCACAGAACUGCUACUAGUUGGAUCUGUGAGGAAGACCUACAAGACAAAC
This 132-nucleotide small nucleolar RNA is filed under the name Echinops telfairi (small Madagascar hedgehog). The record is from RNAcentral. Lineage: Eukaryota; Metazoa; Chordata; Mammalia; Afrosoricida; Tenrecidae.